UUAGUGGCGAACGGGUGAGUAACACGUGAGUAACCUGCCCUUCACUCUGGGAUAACUCCGGGAAACCGGUGCUAAUACUGGAUAUGACUCCAACCUGCAUGGGUAUGGGGUGGAAAGAUUUAUCGGUGGAGGAUGGACUCGCGGCCUAUCAGCUUGUUGGUGGGGUAAUGGCCUACCAAGGCGACGACGGGUAGCCGGCCUGAGAGGGUGACCGGCCACACUGGGACUGAGACACGGCCCAG
Molecule: ribosomal RNA, 242 nt
Filed under: uncultured Actinomycetales bacterium
Lineage: Bacteria; Bacillati; Actinomycetota; Actinomycetes; Actinomycetales
Description: partial 16S ribosomal RNA
Rfam family: Bacterial small subunit ribosomal RNA
Source: RNAcentral